This 519-nucleotide ribosomal RNA is filed under the name uncultured eukaryote. RNAcentral's name for it is "bacterial SSU rRNA". It matches the Rfam family "Eukaryotic small subunit ribosomal RNA", at positions 1161 to 1702 of the family's 1831-position model. The record is from RNAcentral.
AGGGCACCACCAGGAGUGGAGCCUGCGGCUUAAUUUGACUCAACACGGGAAAACUUACCUGGCCCGGACACUGGAAGGAUUGACAGAUUGAGAGCUCUUUCUUGAUUCGGUGGGUGGUGGUGCAUGGCCGUUCUUAGUUGGUGGAGCGAUUUGUCUGGUUAAUUCCGAUAACGAACGAGACUCUGGCCUACUAAAUAGACUGCUCAUCUUUUUGUGGGCAUAACCGUGCUUCUUCUUCGGACGGUGUACGGCUGUGCGGACGAGAUUGAGGAUUCAUAGGGGUGUGAUGCCCUUAUCAGCUGCGCGAUGCACACCCGCUACACUGCUGUAAUGCCCUUGUGUGUCCUACGCCACAGGCGUGCUACACUGAAUGAACCUCCUUCUGGAUGCUGCUUGAAAGGACUGGUAAACCCGCUGAACCUCCUUCUUGAUGGGGAGUGGGAAUUGUAAGUUUGCCUCGAUUACGACCCUGCCCUUUGUACACACAGCCCGUCGCUACUACCGAUCGAGUGAUUGACU